UACAGAGGGUGCGAGCGUUGUUCGGAAUUAUUAGGCGUAAAGGGCGCGUAGGCGGUGCGGUAAGUCACCUGUGAAAUCUCCUGGCUCAACUGGGAGCUUGCAGGCGAAACUGCCGUGCUGGAGUGUGGGAGAGGUGCGUGGAAUUCCCGGUGUAGCGGUGAAAUGCGCAGAUAUCAGGAGGAACACCAAUGGCGAAGGCAGCACUCUGGGACGUGACUGACGCUGAGACGCGAAAGCGUGGGGAGCAAACAGG
RNAcentral lists this ribosomal RNA (253 nucleotides) under uncultured bacterium. Its description in RNAcentral is "partial 16S ribosomal RNA". It matches the Rfam family "Bacterial small subunit ribosomal RNA", at positions 524 to 776 of the family's 1533-position model. The record is from RNAcentral.